GCUGGGCACAAUGGUAUGUGUCUAAAAUCCCAGCUACUCAGGAGCCUGAAGUGGGAGGAUUGCUUGAGCCUAGGAGUUUCAGGCUGUGGUGUGCUAUGCCAGUCAAGAGUCUGCACUAGAUUCAGCAUCUAUAUGGUGACUUCCUGGGAGGGGCGAACGUGCCCAGGUAGGAAAUUGAUUAGUUCAAAACUCCCAUGCUGAUCAGUAGUGGAAUAUCUACACUCUUGUGAAUAGCCACUGCACUCUAGCCUGAACAACAUAGCAAGGCCCUGUCUCU
Molecule: signal recognition particle RNA, 277 nt
Filed under: Carlito syrichta (Philippine tarsier)
Lineage: Eukaryota; Metazoa; Chordata; Mammalia; Primates; Tarsiidae
Description: Metazoan signal recognition particle RNA (ENSTSYG00000037515.1)
Rfam family: Metazoan signal recognition particle RNA
About the family: The signal recognition particle (SRP) is a universally conserved ribonucleoprotein. It is involved in the co-translational targeting of proteins to membranes.
Source: RNAcentral